Molecule: long non-coding RNA, 468 nt
Organism: Neopsephotus bourkii (Bourke's parrot)
Lineage: Eukaryota; Metazoa; Chordata; Aves; Psittaciformes; Psittacidae
Exons: 2
Source: RefSeq, a predicted model, not a curated record
UCGGUGCCCGCCCGCGGGCAAAGUGAGGGGAGGCGGCGGGGGGCGGUCGCCGCUGUCGCAUUCCAGCGGGACUACUUGCUAUUCUUCACCCCCUCCGCCGCGUAGCGAUGCUGCCCGCGGAGCAACACCGGCCCGGGAGCGACGGCACUACUUUCUGCCACAGAGCAGCGGCGGCGGUCGAGGCAACAGCAGCACAAAGGCAGAGCUGGUCCUCCGCCGGGGAGUUGAAAACAGCACUGCCUAAGGAUACACUUCAGCGGUUGUGUUUUCAGUGCGAACCAUGCAGGAUUCUGAUUUUAAUUUGGCACUGCCCACCAGACCACAGGGCAAGUCCAGGACUUUUCUUAGGAAUAUUCAGCCGGGGCUACAUUUCAAAGCCAAAUUACAGAAAUGUCAUUUGAGAAAGCUACAGUUCUAAAAUUCAUAAAGUACUUUAAUGCUAGGUUGACACAGAGGAAACAUCCUUUU